AGAACGAACGCUGGCGGCGUGGAUAAGACAUGCAAGUCGAACGGAUUUCCGAGGGUAGCAAUACCUGAGGGAGUUAGUGGCGCAAGGGUGCGUAACACGUGGGCAAUCUGCCCUGGAGUUUGGGAUAGCCCGCCGAAAGGCGGAUUAAUACCGGAUGUGGCUACUCCAUGAUUAUGGGGGACGCUAAAGGUGGCGCAAGCUGCCGCUCCUGGAUGAGCCCGCGGCCUAUCAGCUAGUUGGUGAGGUAACGGCCCACCAAGGCUUUGACGGGUA
This 273-nucleotide ribosomal RNA is filed under the name uncultured bacterium. RNAcentral describes it as "partial small subunit ribosomal RNA". It matches the Rfam family "Bacterial small subunit ribosomal RNA", at positions 26 to 285 of the family's 1533-position model. The record is from RNAcentral.